This is a long non-coding RNA of Drosophila teissieri, 834 nucleotides long. RefSeq lists it as uncharacterized. The transcript has 2 exons. The record is from RefSeq and is a predicted model, not a curated record. NCBI's taxonomy places the organism in Eukaryota, Metazoa, Arthropoda, Insecta, Diptera, Drosophilidae.
GCGAUUUUUUGUUGCUAGCUCCAGGUUCUCUAGAAUUUUUCUUCCAAGGCCAGAAGGAAGAGAGCUAUCAUAGAUACUACACUAUUAGUUGCAAAUCUUAUCGGUUUCCAAUAGACAAGAGUCGCGCGCUCUACGUCACCAAAAUCCGUCAGAUGUCGGAGCUGAGGAGGAGCUGAACAGAUGUUGGAGUAGGCGGAAUUUGUGCAGCUACAAUACCAAGGCGAUCAUCAACGGGGCAGCGGCAACAACUGUUACAAGCAGUAAAAAUAAGAUAAAAUUCAAACUCGUAGUGAAAUUGCGGCAAGAGCCGAAAUAAAGAGUCGUAGACAUUUCGUUGCUGCACCGCGAACAAGGAGGGAGAUCUGUGAUGCGAUGCUUCGGUGUAUCUCACAGAUGCACAGAUACUCGCUUCACAUUUUCGUGCAGUGUGCGGAAGGCAGGUCAAAAUAAUUUGGCUUACUGCGGAAGCGAGAGGAAGAGAAAAGGCCAGCUGUCGCCCAUUUGGAUCGGAUCCGUAUGCCACUAAUAUAUAUUAUAUCGUGUGGCUGCCACGUGUCGCAGUUCGUGGGCAAGUCCAUUGGGCAAUUGGUCAGUUCGGCCGAACAAUGGCCAAUUAGUAUGCAUGCGAGUUUGAAAAGUGAACUUGCGAUUAGCCACAAAGUUGCCCAAUAUACAAAUGUAUGUACAUACAUAUCUGCAAAUACAGGGCAAGUUCUCUAAGUCGCACCAAGCUGAAGCGAGAGCUCGGUACUAAGUAGUAAUUUGGUUUACUAUAAGCAUUUUAAAAUAUGUAAUUUCCUUGAUUAAAUUGAUUUUAAUUUGAUUUUAUUUUUA